RNAcentral lists this ribosomal RNA (343 nucleotides) under uncultured Bacteroidales bacterium. Its description in RNAcentral is "bacterial SSU rRNA". It matches the Rfam family "Bacterial small subunit ribosomal RNA", at positions 71 to 414 of the family's 1533-position model. The record is from RNAcentral. Lineage: Bacteria; Pseudomonadati; Bacteroidota; Bacteroidia; Bacteroidales.
AGCAGGGUAGCAAUACCGCUGACGACCGGCGCACGGGUGAGUAACACGUAUCCAACCUUCCCAUAACUCAGGGAUAGCCUUUCGAAAGAAAGAUUAAUACCUGAUAGUACUUAAGAAAGGCAUCUUUUUAAGUUAAAGAUUUAUCGGUUAUGGAUGGGGAUGCGUUCCAUUAGAUAGUUGGUGAGGUAACGGCUCACCAAGUCUUCGAUGGAUAGGGGUUCUGAGAGGAAGGUCCCCCACAUUGGUACUGAGACACGGACCAAACUCCUACGGGAGGCAGCAGUGAGGAAUAUUGGUCAAUGGGCGAGAGCCUGAACCAGCCAAGUAGCGUGAAGGAUGACGG